This 253-nucleotide ribosomal RNA is filed under the name uncultured bacterium. Its description in RNAcentral is "partial 16S ribosomal RNA". It matches the Rfam family "Bacterial small subunit ribosomal RNA", at positions 524 to 776 of the family's 1533-position model. The record is from RNAcentral.
UACGAAGGGGGCUAGCGUUGCUCGGAAUUACUGGGCGUAAAGGGCGCGUAGGCGGCACUGUUAGUCAGGCGUGAAAUUCCUGGGCUCAACCUGGGGACUGCGCUUGAUACGGCAGAGCUUGAGGAUGGAAGAGGGUCGCGGAAUUCCCAGUGUAGAGGUGAAAUUCGUAGAUAUUGGGAAGAACACCAGUGGCGAAGGCGGCUCACUGGCCCGGUACUGACGCUGAGGUGCGAAAGCGUGGGGAGCAAACAGG